RNAcentral lists this ribosomal RNA (57 nucleotides) under Perkinsus olseni. RNAcentral describes it as "partial 18S ribosomal RNA". The record is from RNAcentral. Lineage: Eukaryota; Perkinsozoa; Perkinsida; Perkinsidae.
GUAAGUAUGAGAGUAGGCUUACGAUCCACUGAGAUUCAUCACGUGUUGCGCCGAUUU